CAGUCGCCGCGGGAAUACGAAGGGGGCUAGCGUUGUUCGGAUUUACUGGGCGUAAAGCGCACGUAGGCGGAUCCUUAAGUCAGAGGUGAAAUCCCAAGGCUCAACCUUGGAACUGCCUUUGAUACUGGGGAUCUCGAGUUCGGGAGAGGUGAGUGGAACUGCGAGUGUAGAGGUGAAAUUCGUAGAUAUUCGCAAGAACACCAGUGGCGAAGGCGGCUCACUGGCCCAAUACUGACGCUGAGGUGCGAAAGCGUGGGGAGCAAACAGGAUUAGAUACCCGAGUAGUCCCUGUCUCUUAUAC
This 301-nucleotide ribosomal RNA is filed under the name uncultured bacterium. RNAcentral describes it as "partial 16S ribosomal RNA". It matches the Rfam family "Bacterial small subunit ribosomal RNA", at positions 509 to 807 of the family's 1533-position model. The record is from RNAcentral.